RNAcentral lists this ribosomal RNA (1557 nucleotides) under Staphylococcus aureus. RNAcentral describes it as "16S ribosomal RNA". It matches the Rfam family "Bacterial small subunit ribosomal RNA". Lineage: Bacteria; Bacillati; Bacillota; Bacilli; Caryophanales; Staphylococcaceae. The record is from RNAcentral.
UUUUAUGGAGAGUUUGAUCCUGGCUCAGGAUGAACGCUGGCGGCGUGCCUAAUACAUGCAAGUCGAGCGAACGGACGAGAAGCUUGCUUCUCUGAUGUUAGCGGCGGACGGGGGAGUAACACGUGGAUAACCUACCUAUAAGACUGGGAUAACUUCGGGAAACCGGAGCUAAUACCGGAUAAUAUUUUGAACCGCAUGGUUCAAAAGUGAAAGACGGUCUUGCUGUCACUUAUAGAUGGAUCCGCGCUGCAUUAGCUAGUUGGUAAGGUAACGGCUUACCAAGGCAACGAUGCAUAGCCGACCUGAGAGGGUGAUCGGCCACACUGGAACUGAGACACGGUCCAGACUCCUACGGGAGGCAGCAGUAGGGAAUCUUCCGCAAUGGGCGAAAGCCUGACGGAGCAACGCCGCGUGAGUGAUGAAGGUCUUCGGAUCGUAAAACUCUGUUAUUAGGGAAGAACAUAUGUGUAAGUAACUGUGCACAUCUUGACGGUACCUAAUCAGAAAGCCACGGCUAACUACGUGCCAGCAGCCGCGGUAAUACGUAGGUGGCAAGCGUUAUCCGGAAUUAUUGGGCGUAAAGCGCGCGUAGGCGGUUUUUUAAGUCUGAUGUGAAAGCCCACGGCUCAACCGUGGAGGGUCAUUGGAAACUGGAAAACUUGAGUGCAGAAGAGGAAAGUGGAAUUCCAUGUGUAGCGGUGAAAUGCGCAGAGAUAUGGAGGAACACCAGUGGCGAAGGCGACUUUCUGGUCUGUAACUGACGCUGAUGUGCGAAAGCGUGGGGAUCAAACAGGAUUAGAUACCCUGGUAGUCCACGCCGUAAACGAUGAGUGCUAAGUGUUAGGGGGUUUCCGCCCCUUAGUGCUGCAGCUAACGCAUUAAGCACUCCGCCUGGGGAGUACGACCGCAAGGUUGAAACUCAAAGGAAUUGACGGGGACCCGCACAAGCGGUGGAGCAUGUGGUUUAAUUCGAAGCAACGCGAAGAACCUUACCAAAUCUUGACAUCCUUUGACAACUCUAGAGAUAGAGCCUUCCCCUUCGGGGGACAAAGUGACAGGUGGUGCAUGGUUGUCGUCAGCUCGUGUCGUGAGAUGUUGGGUUAAGUCCCGCAACGAGCGCAACCCUUAAGCUUAGUUGCCAUCAUUAAGUUGGGCACUCUAAGAUGACUGCCGGUGACAAACCGGAGGAAGGUGGGGAUGACGUCAAAUCAUCAUGCCCCUUAUGAUUUGGGCUACACACGUGCUACAAUGGACAAUACAAAGGGCAGCGAAACCGCGAGGUCAAGCAAAUCCCAUAAAGUUGUUCUCAGUUCGGAUUGUAGUCUGCAACUCGACUACAUGAAGCUGGAAUCGCUAGUAAUCGUAGAUCAGCAUGCUACGGUGAAUACGUUCCCGGGUCUUGUACACACCGCCCGUCACACCACGAGAGUUUGUAACACCCGAAGCCGGUGGAGUAACCUUUUAGGAGCUAGCCGUCGAAGGUGGGACAAAUGAUUGGGGUGAAGUCGUAACAAGGUAGCCGUAUCGGAAGGUGCGGCUGGAUCACCUCCUUUCUAA